AGAACGAACGCUGGCGGCAUGCCUAAUACAUGCAAGUCGAACGAACACUUCGGUGUUAGUGGCGCACGGGUGCGUAACGCGUGGGAAUCUGCCCUUGGGUUCGGAAUAACAGUUGGAAACGACUGCUAAUACCGGAUGAUAUCGAAAGAUCAAAGAUUUAUCGCCCAGGGAUGAGCCCGCGUAGGAUUAGCUAGUUGGUGAGGUAAAGGCUCGACCAAGGCGACGAUCCGUUAGCUGGUCUGAGAGGAUAGAUCACGCCACACGUGGGACUGAGACACGGCCAGACUACCGUACGGGAGGCAG
Molecule: ribosomal RNA, 303 nt
Filed under: uncultured soil bacterium
Lineage: Bacteria
Description: bacterial SSU rRNA
Rfam family: Bacterial small subunit ribosomal RNA
Source: RNAcentral